Molecule: ribosomal RNA, 447 nt
Filed under: Klebsiella sp.
Lineage: Bacteria; Pseudomonadati; Pseudomonadota; Gammaproteobacteria; Enterobacterales; Enterobacteriaceae
Description: bacterial SSU rRNA
Rfam family: Bacterial small subunit ribosomal RNA
Source: RNAcentral
AGUCGAGCGGUAGCACAGAGAGCUUGCUCUCGGGUGACGAGCGGCGGACGGGUGAGUAAUGUCUGGGAAACUGCCUGAUGGAGGGGGAUAACUACUGGAAACGGUAGCUAAUACCGCAUAACGUCGCAAGACCAAAGUGGGGGACCUUCGGGCCUCAUGCCAUCAGAUGUGCCCAGAUGGGAUUAGCUGGUAGGUGGGGUAACGGCUCACCUAGGCGACGAUCCCUAGCUGGUCUGAGAGGAUGACCAGCCACACUGGAACUGAGACACGGUCCAGACUCCUACGGGAGGCAGCAGUGGGGAAUAUUGCACAAUGGGCGCAAGCCUGAUGCAGCCAUGCCGCGUGUGUGAAGAAGGCCUUCGGGUUGUAAAGCACUUUCAGCGGGGAGGAAGGCGGUGAGGUUAAUAACCUUGUCGAUUGACGUUACCCGCAGAAAAAAGCACCGGC